This 164-nucleotide ribosomal RNA is filed under the name uncultured bacterium. Its description in RNAcentral is "partial 16S ribosomal RNA". It matches the Rfam family "Bacterial small subunit ribosomal RNA", at positions 355 to 511 of the family's 1533-position model. The record is from RNAcentral.
UAGGGAAUCUUCCACAAUGGGCGCAAGCCUGAUGGAGCAACGCCGCGUGUGUGAUGAGGGCUUUCGGGUCGUAAAGCACUGUUGUAUGGGAAGAACAGCUAGAAUAGGAAAUGAUUUUAGUUUGACGGUACCAUACCAGAAAGGGACGGCUAAAUACGUGUCAG